Molecule: transfer RNA, 71 nt
Filed under: archaeon
Lineage: Archaea
Description: tRNA-His
Rfam family: tRNA
About the family: Transfer RNA (tRNA) molecules are approximately 80 nucleotides in length. Their secondary structure includes four short double-helical elements and three loops (D, anti-codon, and T loops).
Source: RNAcentral
GUGGAUGUAGUUUAGUGGUAGAACGUCCGGUUGUGGUCCGGAUGGCCCGAGUUCGAUUCUCGGUUUCCACC